UGGGGAAUAUUGCACAAUGGGCGCAAGCCUGAUGCAGCGACGCCGCGUGAGGGAAGAAGGUUUUCGGAUUGUAAACCUCUGUUAAGUGGGAAAAAAUAUUAAUGGUUAAUACCCAUUGAAGAUGAUGGUACCACUAGAGAAAGUACCGGCAAACUUCGUGCCAGCAGCCGCGGUAAUACGAAGGGUACAAGCGUUAUUCGGAGUUACUGGGCGUAAAGAGCGUGUAGGCGGCUUGUUAAGUUAGUUGUUAAAUUCCUCGGCCUAACCGGGGAUCCGCAACUAAAACUGGUGAGCUAGAGUACAAGAGAGAGAAGUAGAAUUCCCGGAGUAGCGGUAAAAUGCGUAGAUCUCGGGAGGAAUACCGAUGGCGAAGGCAGCUUCUUGGCUUGUAACUGACGCUAAAGCGCGAAAGCGUGGGGAGCAAACAGG
Molecule: ribosomal RNA, 429 nt
Filed under: uncultured bacterium
Lineage: Bacteria
Description: bacterial SSU rRNA
Rfam family: Bacterial small subunit ribosomal RNA
Source: RNAcentral